UGACCUCACAGCCAUCCUUCCCACCGCCAGGCCCAGGAGGUUGGGGGAGACUAACCUGGCAAGGAGCCCCCAAUGAGCCACCUCUCCUCACCCCCCAAAAAACAUAAGGGGGAGCACAAAGGCCACAGUCUCCCCCAUGGUUCAGAAAGGGGUAGCUCCUCCCGGGACAAGGACCGAAGUGCGACGGUCAGUAGUUCAGUGCCCAUGCCUGCUGGAGGGAAGGGAAGCCAUCCUUCAUCUGCACCCCAGAGGGUCCCCAACCGCCUGAUCCACGAGAAGUCACCAUACCUCCUACAACAUGCCUACAAUCCUGUGGACUGGUACCCCUGGGGACAGGAAGCCUUCGACAAGGCCAGGAAAGAAAACAAGCCGAUUUUCCUCUCAGUCGGGUACUCCACCUGCCACUGGUGCCACAUGAUGGAAGAGGAGUCCUUCCAGAAUGAGGAGAUCGGCCGCUUGCUCAGUGAGGACUUCGUGAGCGUGAAGGUAGACCGUGAGGAGCGGCCUGACGUCGACAAGGUGUACAUGACGUUCGUGCAGGUGAGCAGCCCUCCUCGGGAGUGUAUGCGCCACAUGGGGUCAGGGCAGCUCCCCUCACCCUCGCUCUCUCUCUGCCAGGCCACCAGCAGUGGCGGGGGCUGGCCCAUGAAUGUGUGGCUGACUCCCAACCUCCAGCCCUUUGUCGGGGGCACCUAUUUCCCUCCUGAGGAUGGCUUGACCCGAGUCGGCUUCCGCACAGUGUUGCUGAGAAUACGAGAACAGUGGAAACAGAACAAGAACACCCUGCUAGAAAAUAGCCAGCGUGUCACCACCGCCCUGCUGGCCCGAUCAGAGAUCAGCGUGGGUGACCGCCAGCUGCCGCCCUCUGCCGCCACCAUGAACAAUCGCUGCUUCCAGCAGCUGGACGAGGGCUAUGAUGAGGAAUAUGGUGGCUUCGCUGAGGCCCCCAAGUUUCCCACGCCGGUGAUCUUGAGCUUCCUGUUCUCCUACUGGCUCAGCCAUCGACUGACUCAGGAUGGCUCUCGGGCCCAGCAGAUGGCCUUGCAUACCCUGAAAAUGAUGGCUAACGGGGGCAUCCGGGACCACGUGGGGCAGGGCUUUCACCGAUACUCCACAGACCGCCAGUGGCACGUCCCUCACUUUGAGAAGAUGCUCUAUGACCAGGCACAGCUCGCUGUGGCCUAUUCGCAGGCCUUCCAGAUCUCUGGCGAUGAAUUCUACUCUGAUAUGGCCAAAGGCAUCCUGCAGUACGUGGCUCGGAGCCUGAGCCACCGGUCUGGAGGCUUCUAUAGCGCUGAGGAUGCAGACUCGCCCCCAGAGCGGGGCAUGCGGCCCAAAGAGGGCGCCUACUAUGUGUGGACGGUCAAAGAGGUUCAGCAGCUCCUCCCGGAGCCUGUGCUGGGUGCCACCGAGCCGCUGACCUCAGGCCAGCUCCUGAUGAAGCACUACGGCCUCACGGAGGCUGGUAACAUCAGCCCCAGUCAGGACCCCAAGGGGGAGCUGCAGGGCCAGAAUGUGCUGACCGUCCGGUACUCGCUGGAGCUGACUGCUGCCCGCUUUGGCUUGGAUGUGGAGGCCGUGCGGACCUUGCUUAAUACAGGGCUGGAGAAGCUCUUCCAGGCCCGGAAGCAUCGGCCCAAGCCACACCUGGACAGCAAGAUGCUGGCUGCCUGGAAUGGUGGGGCAGCAUCUCUGAGACCGAGCCUGUCUGUAGGAUCCCCCUUCACAAAGCCUCUGUCUGUCCGGCACCUGCUAAAUGCUCACUCUCCCUUUAUUAGCGUUAUUAUUCUCAGUUGACAAAAGAGGCUUAAGGAGCUUGAGUAACCUGCCCAAGGUCACACACAAGGGCUGGGAACCCCGCCGUGUCUGGCUUUGGAGCCCAAGAUCUUAGGGAUCACCCAUGGCUCCAGGGAGGUAUUGGGGCCUGAGGUGAUGGGGUGGACAUGCCUGGAGGGUCCUGGCCAGCUUCUCACCACUACUUGUCUCUCCUGGCUCCAGGCUUGAUGGUGUCAGGCUAUGCUGUGACUGGGGCUGUCCUGGGCCAAGACAGGCUGAUCAACUAUGCCACCAAUGGUGCCAAGUUCCUGAAGCGGCACAUGUUUGAUGUGGCCAGUGGCCGCCUGAUGCGGACCUGCUACACCGGCUCUGGGGGGACUGUGGAGCACAGGUUGGGGGCUGGGUAGACCGGGAGGGCUCGUCUCCCCACGCGUCCCCAGCCUACCUCUGCCCUACUUCUCCCCUCCAUGUGGACUCCAGUCCUGGCUUUGCCAGGUGCUUUCUGUGAGUUUGUAGCCUCCCUGGGCCCGUUUACUCAUCUGGGAAGUGGGCUGAUGGCACCUGCCCAAGAGGGUUUAUAUGGAGGGUUAAGUGAACAAAUGCGUGAAAGGGUCUCCUCUGGGAAAGGCCCACUCUCCUGGGACUCUCCCCAGCCUCUCCCCUAAUGCCUGUCCCCCAGCAACCCACCCUGCUGGGGCUUCCUGGAGGACUACGCCUUCGUGGUGCGGGGCCUGCUGGACCUGUAUGAGGCCUCACAGGAGAGUGCGUGGCUCGAGUGGGCUCUGCGGCUGCAGGACACACAGGACAGGCUCUUUUGGGACUCCCAGGGUGGCGGCUACUUCUGCAGUGAGGCUGAGCUGGGGGCUGGCCUGCCCCUGCGUCUGAAGGACGACCAGGAUGGAGCAGAGCCCAGCGCCAAUUCCGUGUCAGCCCACAACCUGCUCCGGCUGCAUGGCUUCACUGGCCACAAGGACUGGAUGGACAAGUGUGUGUGCCUAUUGACCGCCUUCUCGGAGCGCAUGCGCCGUGUCCCGGUGGCAUUGCCCGAGAUGGUCCGUGCCCUCUCAGCCCAGCAGCAGACCCUCAAGCAGAUCGUGAUCUGUGGAGACCGCCAGGCCAAGGACACCAAGGCCCUGGUGCAGUGCGUCCACUCUGUCUACAUUCCUAACAAGGUGCUGAUUCUGGCUGAUGGGGACCCCUCGAGCUUCCUGUCCCGCCAGCUGCCUUUCCUGAGUACCCUCCGACGGUUGGAAGACCAGGCCACUGCAUAUGUGUGUGAGAAUCAAGCCUGCUCAAUGCCCAUCACUGAUCCCUGUGAAUUACGAAAACUGCUACAUCCAUGACUGCCCCAACCCCCUUGGGCUGGGGCAGAAGGUGAAGCAUCCCAACUGACUAGAGACUCAGGCCCUGCAGGGCCCUAUAGAACCUGUGGCCAUCCCUGAGCACCCUGCCACCAGGUGACCUCGGCCAUACUCACUGCCCCCCUUGGGCACCCACUCACCCUAGAAUAAACUUAACGGUGUCCCGUGGUAA
This 3309-nucleotide small RNA is filed under the name Pongo abelii (Sumatran orangutan). RNAcentral describes it as "retained intron". Lineage: Eukaryota; Metazoa; Chordata; Mammalia; Primates; Hominidae. The record is from RNAcentral.